This 930-nucleotide ribosomal RNA is filed under the name Promicromonospora sp. RNAcentral's name for it is "bacterial SSU rRNA". It matches the Rfam family "Bacterial small subunit ribosomal RNA", at positions 16 to 936 of the family's 1533-position model. Lineage: Bacteria; Bacillati; Actinomycetota; Actinomycetes; Micrococcales; Promicromonosporaceae. The record is from RNAcentral.
AUCCUGGCUCAGGACGAACNCUGGUGGCGUGCUUUAACACAUGCAAGUCGAACGGUGAAGCCCAGCUUGCUGGGUGGAUCAGUGGCGAACGGGUGAGUAACACGUGAGCAACCUGCCCUCCACUUCGGGAUAAGCCUUGGAAAACGAGGUCUAAUACCGGAUAUGAGCGCCUGCCGCAUGGUGGGUGUUGGAAAGUUUUUCGGUGGGGGAUGGGCUCGCGGCCUAUCAGCUUGUUGGUGGGGUAAUGGCCUACCAAGGCGUCGACGGGUAGCCGGCCUGAGAGGGCGACCGGCCACACUGGGACUGAGACACGGCCCAGACUCCUACGGGAGGCAGCAGUGGGGAAUAUUGCACAAUGGGCGAAAGCCUGAUGCAGCGACGCCACGUGAGGGAUGACGGCCUUCGGGUUGUAAACCUCUUUCAGCAGGGAAGAAGCGCAAGUGACGGUACCUGCAGAAGAAGCGCCGGCUAACUACGUGCCAGCAGCCGCGGUAAUACGUAGGGCGCAAGCGUUGUCCGGAAUUAUUGGGCGUAAAGAGCUCGUAGGCGGUCUGUCGCGUCUGGUGUGAAAUCUCAUGGCUCAACUGUGAGCUUGCAUCGGGUACGGGCAGACUAGAGUGCUGUAGGGGAGACUGGAAUUCCUGGUGUNAGCGGUGGAAUGCGCAGAUAUUAGUUUGNAGGAACAGCGAUNNUANAGUCGAAGGCAGGUNCUCUGGGCAGUUACUGACGCUGAGGAGCGAAAGCAUGGGGAGCGAACAGGAUUAGAUAGUCUGGUAGUCCAUGCCGUAAACGUUGGGCACUAAGCGUGNUGGGGCCAGUUCCACUGGUUCUGUGCCGUAGCUAACGCAUUAAGUGCCCCGCCCUGGGNNNNGAGUACGGCCGCAAGGCUAAAACCCAAAGGAAUUGACGGGGACCUGCNCAANCGGCGGA